Molecule: long non-coding RNA, 242 nt
Filed under: Daucus carota (carrot)
Lineage: Eukaryota; Viridiplantae; Streptophyta; Magnoliopsida; Apiales; Apiaceae
Description: long non-coding RNA (DCAR_LNC005361)
Source: RNAcentral
GUGUAUUGUCGUUGUAGUUCUCUUUUCAUCAGGCUUGUAAGCAACCCAGCUGUAAUGUGACGAAAUUGUAAUGUAACUUGGAGGAGAUGUAGACCCCUCGAGGACUUGAGUUGAACACCUCUCUAUGCCAAUUGUCAUAUUGUUCAAGGUGCCUAACUAAAUCCACAUUAUCGAAUGAUUUUCAUGAUUUUCAUUCACAGUACUCAAAUUUCCAAUUAAAAUGAAAAUAAAUUACUCCAUCU